AACGAACGCUGGCGGCGUGCCUGAGACAUGCAAGUCGUGGGAGAACGUCGGAGCAAUCCGGCUAGUAAACCGGCGCACGGGUGAGUAACACGUGGACAACCUGCCCUGGAGACUGGGAUAACCCGUCGAAAGACGGGCUAAUACCGGAUAAGACCACGAGGGGUUCGCCCCUUGGGGUAAAAGGUGGCCUCUGCUCCUGCAAGCUAAUACUUCAGGAAGGGUCCGCGUCCUAUCAGCUAGUUGGUGAGGUGACGGCUCACCAAGGCGAAGACGGGUAGCUGGUCUGAGAGGAUGGUCAGCCACACUGGGACUGAGACACGGCCCAGAGUCCUACGGGAUGCAGCAGUCAGGAAUAUUGCGCAAUGGAGGAAACUCUGACGCAGCGACGCCGCGUGGGUGAUGAAGGCCUUCGGGUCGUAAAGCCCUGUCGGAGGGGAAGAAAAGCUUGCUGGCUAAUAUCCAGCAGGCCUUUGAUGGUACCCUCAAAGGAAGCACCGGCUAACUCCGUGCCAGCAGCCGCGGUAAGACGGAGGGUGCAAGCGUUGUUCGGAUUGACUGGGCGUAAAGGGCGUGUAGGCGGUUGCCCAAGUCCGAUGUGAAAGCCCGAGGCCUACCCUCGGAAGUGCAUCGGAAACUAGGCAGCUGGAGCGCGAUAGAGGAGGGUAGAAUUCCUGGUGUAGCGGUGAAAUGCGUAGAUAUCAGGAGGAAUACCGGCGGCGAAGGCGGCCCUCUGGAUCGUUGCUGACGCUGAGACGCGAAAGCGUGGGGAGCAAACAGGAUUAGAUACCCUGGUAGUCCACGCUGUAAACGAUGGGUACUAGGUGUUCGGGGUAUUGACCCCCUGAGUGCCGCAGUUAACGCA
RNAcentral lists this ribosomal RNA (862 nucleotides) under uncultured bacterium. RNAcentral describes it as "bacterial SSU rRNA". It matches the Rfam family "Bacterial small subunit ribosomal RNA", at positions 28 to 859 of the family's 1533-position model. The record is from RNAcentral.